GAACGAACGCUGGCGGCAGGCUUAACACAUGCAAGUCGAGCGAGGACUUCGGUCCUAGCGGCGGACGGGUGAGUAACGCGUGGGAACGUGCCCUCUUCUUCGGAAUAGCCCUGGGAAACUGGGAGUAAUGCCGGAUACGCCCCUUGGGGGAAAGAUUUAUCGGAGGAGGAUCGGCCCGCGUUGGAUUAGGUAGUUGGUGGGGUAAUGGCCUACCAAGCCGACGAUCCAUAGCUGGUUUGAGAGGAUGAUCAGCCACACUGGGACUGAGACACGGCCCAGACUCCUACGGGAGGCAGCAGUAGGGAAUCUUGGACAAUGGGGGAAACCCUGAUCCAGCCAUGCCGCGUGAUCGAUGAAGGCCUUAGGGUUGUAAAGAUCUUUCAGCUGGGAAGAUAAUGACUGUACCAGCAGAAGAAGCCCCGGCUAACUCCGUGCCAGCAGCCGCGGUAAUACGGAGGGGGCUAGCGUUGUCCGGAAUUACUAGGCGUAAAGGGCAGGUAGGCGGAUCUACGAGUUUUUUGUUAAAGGCUACGGCUCAACUGUAGUAGAGCAGGAGAUACUGUAGGUCUGGAAUGCGGUAGGGGAAGACAGAAUUCCUGGUGUAGCGGUGGAAUGCGCAGAGAUCAGGAGGAAUACCGAAGGCGAAGGCAGUCUUAUAGGCCGUAAUUGACGCUUAACUGCGAAGGUGUGGGGAUCAAACAGGAUUAGAUACCCUGGUAGUCCACACAGUAAACGAUAAUCACUAGAUGUCGGGUUCUAGAUGGAUUCGGUGUCGGAGCAAACGCGAUAAGUGAUUCGCCUGGGGAGUACGAUCGCAAGGUUGAAACUCAAAGGAAUUGACGGGGGCCCGCACAAGCGGUGGAGCAUGUGGUUUAAUUCGAGGCAACGCGAAGAACCUUACCCGGUUUUGACAUCCACGGGAGGCUUCAGAGAUGGAGCUGUGCCGGCGUAAGCUGGAGCCGUGAGACAGGUGCUGCAUGGCUGUCGUCAGCUCGUGUCGUGAGAUGUUGGGUUAAGUCCCGCAACGAGCGCAACCCUUGCCUUCAGUUACCAUCAUUAAGUUGGGGACUCUGGAGGGACCGCUGCGGUAACAACGCAGAGGAAGAUGGGGACGACGUCAAGUCAUCAUGGUCCUUAUGGCCGGGGCUACACACGUGCUACAAUGGCAGUUACAGAGGGAAGCGAUUCAGUAAUGAGGAGCGAAACUCAGAAAAGCUGCCGCAGUUCGGAUUGAGGUCUGCAACUCGGCCUCAUGAAGUCGGAAUCGCUAGUAAUCGCGCAACAUCAUGGCGCGGUGAAUACGUUCCCGGGCCU
RNAcentral lists this ribosomal RNA (1314 nucleotides) under uncultured bacterium. Its description in RNAcentral is "bacterial SSU rRNA". It matches the Rfam family "Bacterial small subunit ribosomal RNA", at positions 27 to 1381 of the family's 1533-position model. The record is from RNAcentral.